RNAcentral lists this ribosomal RNA (270 nucleotides) under uncultured bacterium. RNAcentral's name for it is "partial 16S ribosomal RNA". It matches the Rfam family "Bacterial small subunit ribosomal RNA", at positions 524 to 797 of the family's 1533-position model. The record is from RNAcentral.
UACGUAGGGGGCAAGCGUUAUCCGGAAUUACUGGGCGUAAAGCGCACGCAGGCGGUUCGCCAAGUUUGGAGUGACAGUUGUCGGCUCAACCGACAAAGGACUUCAAAAACUGGUGAACUUGAGGACGAGAGAGGAACAUGGAACUCCAGGUGUAGUAGUGAAAUGCGUAGAUAUCUGGAAGAACACCAAUGGCGAAGGCAAUGUUCUGGCUCGUUUCUGACGCUCAGGUGCGAAAGCCAGGGGAGCGAACGGAGUAGAAUCCGAGUACCU